This 118-nucleotide small nuclear RNA is filed under the name Homarus americanus (American lobster). RNAcentral describes it as "U5 spliceosomal RNA". It matches the Rfam family "U5 spliceosomal RNA". Rfam says of the family: U5 RNA is a component of both types of known spliceosome. Lineage: Eukaryota; Metazoa; Arthropoda; Malacostraca; Decapoda; Nephropidae. The record is from Rfam by way of RNAcentral.
UAGCUCUGGUUUCCCUUCAAAACGCAUAAAUCUUUCGCCUUUUACUAAAGAUUUCCGUGGGGGGGAACAACUCAAUGAGUCUUAAAUUAAUUUUUUCUUAGCCCAUUCACAUGGGCUC